This is a small nuclear RNA of Dipodomys ordii (Ord's kangaroo rat), 104 nucleotides long. The record is from Ensembl. NCBI's taxonomy places the organism in Eukaryota, Metazoa, Chordata, Mammalia, Rodentia, Heteromyidae.
AUGUUCACUUCGGCAGCACAUAUACUAAAUUUGGAACGAUACAGAGAAGAUUAGCAUGGCCCCUGCCAAGACCACACUAAAGCUACCAGCACAACUAUGUUUAU